GCGAUAGUCGUUUAGCUCAGUUACCUUAACUUUCUUGGGAACAGGAACAAUGGUGGCCCUCUUGAAGCAUGUGGGAACAGCAGACUGGGAUAGGGAUUGAUUGAAUAUGUCCGUAAACAGACCAGCCAGCUGGUCUGCGCAUGCUCUGAGGACACGGCUAGGGUUGGCGCCUGGGCUGGCAGCCUUGCGAGGGUUAACACGUUUAAAUGUUUUACUCACGUUGGCUGUGGUGAAGGAGAGUCCGCAGGUUUUGGUAGCGGGCCGUGUCGGUGGCACUGUAUUGUCCUCAAAGUGAGCAAAGAAGUUGUUUAGUUGGUCUGGGAGCAAGAUAUCGGGGUCUGCGACGGGUCUUGGUUUUCUUUUUGUAGUCCGUGAUUGACUGUAGACCCUGCCACAUACCUCUCGUGUCUGAGCCGUUGAAUUGCGACUCUACUUUGUACACUGUUUGUAUUCGGUCAUGUUUCCGGUCGCCUAGCCCUGAUUAAAAGCAGUGGUUCGCGCGAAUGCUGCCAUCAAUCCACGGUUUCUGGUUGGGGAAGGUUUUAAUUGUCACCAAUCACCGAUGCAUUUGCUAAUAAACUCGCUCACCGAAUCAGAGUAUACAUCAAUGUUGUUGUUCGAUGCUAUCCGGAACAUAUCCCAGUCCACGUGAUCGAAGCAAUCUUGAAGCGCGGAAUCAGAUUCGUCGGACCAGCAUUGAACAGACCUGAGCGCCUGUACAUGACUGAUUAUAAUCGAAGAGAAUUCUCUAGGUAGAUAAUGCGGUCGGCAUUUGAUUGUAAGGAAUUCUAGGUCAGGUGAACAAAAGGACUUGAGUUCCUGUAUGUUGUUAUGAUCACACCACGACUCGUUAAUCAUAAGGCAUACAUACACCCCCGCCCUUCUUACCAGAGAGAUGUUUGUUUCUGUCGGCGCAAUGCGUGAAGAAACCAGGUGGCUGUACCGACUCUGAUAACGUAUCCCGAGUGAGCCAUGUUUCCGUGAAACAGAGAAUGUUACAAACUCUGAUGUUUCUCUGGAAGGCAACCCUUGUUCGGAUUUUGUCUACCUUGUUGUCAAGAGACUGGAGAUUGACUAGUAGUAUACUCGGGAGCGGUGUGCCCGUCUACGGAGCCCGUCUGCCCCUUCUGUGACGCCAUUGUUUUGGGUCGCAUGCUGGGAUCCGAUCCAUUGUCCUGGGUGGUGGACCAAACAGAGGAUCCGCUUCAGGAAAGUUGUAUUCCUGGUCGUAAUGUUGAACUUUAACAGGCACACAGAAGCAGUACACUGGUUCGCUAACUCCUGGGAGAUCUACAUGAUCCAACCUACUGUAGCGACCCAUCUGGAAGCACUUCCCCAUUUCCCCUGCUGGAGUUUCAGAUCCCAGUCACGGUGGGUCAUCGGAGUAUGAUUUAUGUUCGCACAUGUGAACGCUUUCCAGCUUCAGCUGCGGCCAUCAGACUUUCAAAUCUGACAGCCAGCUCUUUUGGUCCUGAAAUGUGGUAAAAACAGAUCUAGAAAGAUAAGAGAGAGACAAAGAAUGAGGGAGGGAGGGAAAAAGAGUGAAGGGGGGCAGUAGUUUGUCAUGGGGGGG
This 1573-nucleotide long non-coding RNA is filed under the name Salmo salar (Atlantic salmon). RNAcentral describes it as "lncRNA (ENSSSAG00000087283.1)". The record is from RNAcentral. Lineage: Eukaryota; Metazoa; Chordata; Actinopteri; Salmoniformes; Salmonidae.